AUGUGUAUUCCGAAGGAGAGAGGAGGGAUGGGUUUCAGAGACAUUCAAAGCUUCAACUUGGCUAUGCUAGCUAAACAAUGUUGGCAGCUUAUUGAUAAUUAUGAUUCGCUUUGUGCUAAAAUCUUGAGAUCAAUAUAUUAUCCAUCAGGUGAUUUGUUGAAUUGCGAGCUGAAAAAGGGCUCAUCUUAUGUUUGGCAAAGUAUUUGGGCAGGGAUCCGAACUUUCAAGAAGGGCUGCAUAUGGAGAGUUGGAGAUGGAUCAAAAAUUAAUAUUUGGGAAGAUUGUUGGAUACCAAAUAGCUCAUCUAGAAGAGUUACUGUGUGUGGUAAUCGUGUGUUGUCGAAGGUGAAUGAACUCAUUGAUCCUACUACAGGAGAGUGGGAUGAAACAGUUAUCAGAGACAAUUUUUGGCACAUUGACGCUGAUAGGAUCUUGCAAAUUCCCUUAUAUCAGCAGGAGACUGGUGACUUUGUAGCAUGGCAUCUGACAAAAUCUGGAAUUUUCACUGUCCGGUCU
RNAcentral lists this ribosomal RNA (516 nucleotides) under Triticum aestivum (bread wheat). RNAcentral's name for it is "partial small subunit ribosomal RNA". Lineage: Eukaryota; Viridiplantae; Streptophyta; Magnoliopsida; Poales; Poaceae. The record is from RNAcentral.